Molecule: ribosomal RNA, 802 nt
Filed under: uncultured Rubrobacter sp.
Lineage: Bacteria; Bacillati; Actinomycetota; Rubrobacteria; Rubrobacterales; Rubrobacteraceae
Description: bacterial SSU rRNA
Rfam family: Bacterial small subunit ribosomal RNA
Source: RNAcentral
AGAGUUUGAUCCUGGCUCAGGACGAACGCUGACGGNGUGCUUUAGACAUGCAAGUCGAACGAGAAAGCCCUUCGGGGUGAGUACAGNGGCGAACGGGUGAGUAACACGUGGGUAACCUGCCCCUCGCAGGGGGACAACCGGGGGAAACUCCGGCUAAUACCCCGUACGCUUGCCGGGCCGCAUGGCAUCGGCAAGGAAAGGUAGCUUCGGCCAUCCGGCGAGGGAUGGGCCCGCGGUCCAUUAGCUAGUUGGUGGGGUAACGGCCCACCAAGGCGACGAUGGAUAGCUGGUCUGAGAGGAUGAUCAGCCACACUGGGACUGAGACACGGCCCAGACUCCUACGGGAGGCAGCAGUCGGGAAUCUUGCGCAAUGGGCGAAAGCCUGACGCAGCAACACCGUGUGGGCGACGAAGGCCUUCGGGUCGUAAAGCCCUGUUGUUGGGGACGAAGGACGAAGGGUUAAUAGCCCCUAGUCUGACGGUACCCUUCGAGGAAGCCCCGGCUAACUACGUGCCAGCAGCCGCGGUAAUACGUAGGGGGCGAGCGUUGUCCGGAAUUAUUGGGCGUAAAGAGCGUGUAGGCGGUUCGGUAAGUCUGCUGUGAAAUCCUGGGGCUCAACCCCGGGCGUGCAGCGGAUACUGCCGGGCUAGAGGGUGGUAGAGGCGAGUGGAAUUCCCGGUGUAGCGGUGAAAUGCGCAGAUAUCGGGAGGAACACCAGUAGCGAAGGCGGCUCGCUGGGCCAUUCCUGACGCUGAGACGCGAAAGCAUGGGGAGCGAACAGGAUUAGAUACCCCUGUAGUCC